CCCCAUCAUCCUUUCCUGUGGCUCCUCAGUCUUCACCUAAAGAGGAAUGCAGAUUCCAGGACAGAAUUUGGAAAAUAUGCCAUUUACUGCCAGCGUUGUGUAGAAAGAACGCAACAAAAUGGUGACAGAGAAGCAAGACCCUCAAGGAUGGAAAUUCUUUCAACUCUUCUCCGAAACCCUUAUCACCAUUCUUUGCCCUUUAGUAUACCUGUGCACUUCAUGAAUGGGAUAUACCAGGUAGUUGGUUUUGACGCAUCUACCACAGUGGAAGAAUUUUUGAAUACUUUGAACCAGGACACAGGAAUGAGGAAACCAGCGCAGUCUGGAUUUGCGUUGUUCACUGACGAUCCUUCUGGCAGAGAUUUAGAGCAUUGUCUUCAAGGAAACAUCAAGGUGAAACCAAGUCCUUUUCAGGAGCCAAGCCCAACAAACAGCAAAGAAGCUACUCUUUACAAGAAGAGUAAACUUUGCAAGAAGUUUAAUUCAGGAGUUUUCCAAAACUUUAACCAAUCUAAUCUCCACGAUAAGAAAAAAAAA
Molecule: small RNA, 537 nt
Filed under: Pan troglodytes (chimpanzee)
Lineage: Eukaryota; Metazoa; Chordata; Mammalia; Primates; Hominidae
Description: retained intron
Source: RNAcentral